This 22-nucleotide microRNA is filed under the name Caenorhabditis briggsae. Its description in RNAcentral is "Cbr-Mir-7588_5p* (star (passenger))". Lineage: Eukaryota; Metazoa; Nematoda; Chromadorea; Rhabditida; Rhabditidae. The record is from RNAcentral.
GUAAGUUGUUGAUUGUGUUUCU